Molecule: small nucleolar RNA, 120 nt
Filed under: Catagonus wagneri (Chacoan peccary)
Lineage: Eukaryota; Metazoa; Chordata; Mammalia; Artiodactyla; Tayassuidae
Description: Small nucleolar RNA SNORD22 (ENSCWAG00000014888.1)
Rfam family: Small nucleolar RNA SNORD22
About the family: U22 is a member of the C/D class of snoRNA which contain the C (UGAUGA) and D (CUGA) box motifs. U22 is encoded within the U22 snoRNA host gene (UHG) in mammals and has also been identified in Xenopus.
Source: Rfam by way of RNAcentral
UCCCUAUGAAAAAACAUUCACAGGUUUUACCUCCUGUCCUAGUCCCAGUAAAAGUGAAUCCACUUGGGCUUGCUGGGGUUGAAGAGGAAGCCUUGUUCCAGAAGGAACUGUCUGAAGGAA